GCAUCUCAGAGGACGAUGCCCUCUGGCUUACUCUCUGGGAAAUGCUGCUCUGUUGGAAAUCCGUAGUUCUGAGUGAUUCCCAUGUGUUUUCUGCUGCAGAGCAGGACAUGCUGAAGCGAUUCGUUCAUGAGCAGAUGUUAGAGGUCUCCUUUUGACAGCUUGUUACAAAAUGGAUCACAAAUAUACUAUUAGGUAUAUAUUGGGUGAAGGAGCAUUAUGUAUGGAACCUCUCACAAAACAGCUCCUACUUUCAAGAAUGAAAAAGGUAUCCCAGCACUUUGGGAGGCCAAGGUGUGUGGAUCAUGAGGUCAGGAGAUCGAGACCAUCCUGGCUAACACAGUGAAACCCCGUCUCUACUAAAAAAAUAGAAAAAAAAUUAGCCGGGCGUGAUGGCAGACUCCUGUAGUCCCAGUAGUAGAGUCAACCACUUUUAGGCAGCCCCGCUGUACUUGGGAGGCUGAGGCAGGAGAACGGCAUGAACCCGGGAGACAGAGCUUGCAGUGAGCCGAGAUGGUACCACUGCACUCCA
Chlorocebus sabaeus (green monkey) is the source of this 529-nucleotide non-coding RNA. NCBI's taxonomy places the organism in Eukaryota, Metazoa, Chordata, Mammalia, Primates, Cercopithecidae. The record is from RefSeq and is a predicted model, not a curated record.